This 517-nucleotide ribosomal RNA is filed under the name uncultured Glomus. Its description in RNAcentral is "SSU rRNA". It matches the Rfam family "Eukaryotic small subunit ribosomal RNA", at positions 569 to 1089 of the family's 1831-position model. The record is from RNAcentral. Lineage: Eukaryota; Fungi; Glomeromycota; Glomeromycetes; Glomerales; Glomeraceae.
AGCAGCCGCGGUAAUUCCAGCUCCAAUAGCGUAUAUUAAAGUUGUUGCAGUUAAAAAGCUCGUAGUUGAAUUUCGGGAUCAAUACGUCGGUCGUGCUUCGGUACGUACUGGCGUCAUUGGUUUCUCCCUUCUGACGAACCAUGAUGUCAUUAACUUGGUGUCAUGGGAAAUCAGGACUGUUACUUUGAAAAAAUUAGAGUGUUUAAAGCAGGCUCACGCUUGAAUACAUUAGCAUGGAAUAAUGAAAUAGGACGUUCGAUCCUAUUUUGUUGGUUUCUAGGAUUGACGUAAUGAUUAAUAGGGAUAGUUGGGGGCAUUAGUAUUCAAUUGUCAGAGGUGAAACUCUUGGAUUUAUUGAAGACUAACUACUGCGAAAGCAUUUGCCAAGGAUGUUUUCAUUAAUCAAGAACGAAAGUUAGGGGAUCGAAGACGAUCAGAUACCGUCGUAGUCUUAACCAUAAACUAUGCCGACUAGGGAUCGGAUGAUGUUAAUUUUUAAUGACUCAUUCGGCGUCCG